GGAUGUGAGGGUGAUCUGGCUGUGACAUCUGUCAGCCCAUCGAUCGCCAGUGUUGAUUCGGCUGAUCUGGUUUUCUAGGCGGGUGUCCCCUUCCUCCCCCACUCCAUGUGCGUCCCUCCCGAAGCUGUGCGCUUGGUCAAAGAGGACGACCUUCCCCAAUACAGGAGGACUUUCAGUCAAGGGUAUGUGAGUAGCUGCGCUCGCUGCUAGACCCUCCAAAGGAGCUCUCAGGGACCAUUUGUAGGAGAACGUGGGGGAGUCAAACUUCCAGAACUCCAGACACGUCCAGAUGAGGCGCUGCACACGGCAGUUUGCCUUUCUUU
Molecule: unclassified non-coding RNA, 323 nt
Organism: Panthera pardus (leopard)
Lineage: Eukaryota; Metazoa; Chordata; Mammalia; Carnivora; Felidae
Gene: 7SK
Rfam family: 7SK RNA
About the family: 7SK was discovered as an abundant small nuclear RNA in the mid-70s but a possible function has only recently been suggested. Two independent studies have found that 7SK RNA binds the CDK9/cyclin T complex (known as elongation factor P-TEFb). P-TEFb activates transcription by phosphorylating the C-terminal domain of RNA polymerase II.
Source: Ensembl